RNAcentral lists this ribosomal RNA (913 nucleotides) under uncultured bacterium. RNAcentral describes it as "bacterial SSU rRNA". It matches the Rfam family "Bacterial small subunit ribosomal RNA", at positions 8 to 916 of the family's 1533-position model. The record is from RNAcentral.
AGAGUUUGAUCAUGGCUCAGAUUGAACGCUGGCGGCAGGCUUAACACAUGCAAGUCGAACGGAGUAUUGGUGCUUGCACCAAUAUUUAGUGGCGAACGGGUGAGUAAUGCCUAGGAAUCUGCCCAUUAGCGGGGGAUAACGUGUGGAAACGCACGCUAAUACCGCAUACGCCCUACGGGGGAAAGCAGGGGAUCUUCGGACCUUGCACUAAUGGAUGAGCCUAGGUCAGAUUAGCUAGUUGGUGGGGUAAAGGCCUACCAAGGCGACGAUCUGUAGCGGGUCUGAGAGGAUGAUCCGCCACACUGGGACUGAGACACGGCCCAGACUCCUACGGGAGGCAGCAGUGGGGAAUAUUGGACAAUGGGCGCAAGCCUGAUCCAGCCAUGCCGCGUGUGUGAAGAAGGCCUUUUGGUUGUAAGCACUUUAAGCGAGGAGGAGACUACCCUGACUAAUAAUUGGGAGUAGUGGACGUUACUCGCAGAAUAAGCACCGGCUAACUCUGUGCCAGCAGCCGCGGUAAUACAGAGGGUGCGAGCGUUAAUCGGAAUUACUGGGCGUAAAGCGCGCGUAGGCGGUUUAUUAAGUCGGAUGUGAAAUCCCUGAGCUUAACUUAGGAAUUGCAUUCGAUACUGGUAAGCUAGAGUAUGGGAGAGGAAGGUAGAAUUCCAGGUGUAGCGGUGAAAUGCGUAGAGAUCUGGAGGAAUACCGAUGGCGAAGGCAGCCUUCUGGCCUAAUACUGACGCUGAGGUGCGAAAGCAUGGGGAGCAAACAGGAUUAGAUACCCUGGUAGUCCAUGCCGUAAACGAUGUCAACUAGCCGUUGGGGGAUUUGAUCCUUUAGUGGCGCAGCUAACGCGAUAAGUUGACCGCCUGGGGAGUACGGUCGCAAGACUAAAACUCAAAUGAAUUGACGG